This 500-nucleotide long non-coding RNA is filed under the name Homo sapiens (human). RNAcentral describes it as "HSALNT0032235". The record is from RNAcentral. Lineage: Eukaryota; Metazoa; Chordata; Mammalia; Primates; Hominidae.
CUUAGAAGUUGUCUGAAAUACACAUUUGUCUGGAGAAAGAAAAUCUGGCUGAGAUGGAUGGAAGCUAAAAGAGAAUGGAAGGCCUCCAGCUGUUUGAGGCUCUGUCCUCAACGACAAUCAAAAUUCUCCAUCUUUUCUUGUUCUUGGCACUUUCUGAUUGAAAUAAGAUUCCAGCAUUUAUCUGCACCUGCAAUUUUGACAAGAAAGGAAAAUUUAAAAGACAAGUGAAAGAAUUCUCUGAGGGAAGUCAGUGAGUCGACAGUAGUCAGACGCCUCCAAAUCUCUUUUUGCAUUCCUCCGUCAAUUAAGCUACAGUCACAUAUUGGAGAGCAGAACUUAAGUCUGUGAGUAGAAAUGCAAAAAUGUGUGUCGAUCAGUAGCUGGAACCUUCCUCUGGAGCGAGUAUUACUUGGAGAGCAGCUGAUGAUCCAUUUGGCAUUGAAAUGGAGAGGAUUUUGAGUCAAAGAGGCCACUUUAAAUUAUAGAUUUGAGUUUAGUUG